ACUUAAACACACAGCCACCUGUUUGAACACUGUUUGAAGUGGCUAAAUUCCAGCAUUUAUGUAACUUGCUUGUAGAAAGGAAAUGACAUCACUUAGUUUCCUGAAGAUUAUUACCAAUGUCAGAACUGAGGAAAUAAAAUCUACAAUAAAUAGAAUAUUUUAAAAUAUUUUUUUCUCUUUUCCAGUAGGACAUCUCUCCAUCCUGUUCUGCUCAUCCCUUCAAAGACCAGGAAACCCCAUUAAUUUCACAUAGACUUCCACACACGCUGCCAUGAGCAGGCUGCAAGCUGCUGUAAUUUACGUGUUACAUUGAUGAAAUGAAAUCUGGCAAGACAGGAACGAAAUUAUACAAUGACAAAGCCUGCAAUGUGCCUUCAUGUAAAGAUAUAGGCAUAAAAUAACAACAACAAUUUCAUAAUUAGACUGUGUAAAGCUUCAGCAUGUUCAAGUGACUGCAAAAGUGGAGUAGCUGGGAAAAAAGCUGGGAACCAUUUUAUGUAGGCACGAACCAUAUGACAGGACCUGAGGAACUGGCAUGAAUUGUGUUAGGGGACAUUUGGUUUGGAUAUCAGGAAAUGGUUUUUCUCCCAGAGGGUGGCUGAGCACUGGAAUUGGCUCCCCAGGGAAGUGACCACAGCACCAAGCCUGACACAGUUCAAGGACUGUUUGGAUAGUGCUCUGAGGCCCAGGGUGUGACUCCUGGGGCAGGGCAGGGCUUGGACUACAUAAUCCUUGUGGGUCCCUUUCAACUCAGCAUUUUCUGUGAUUCUGUGAUAUUUGGUUUUAAAUGUAAAGUUUACGUUAUUAGAGUCUUCAUAAAGGCUGCAUGUGUUCUGAGAUAUUUGUUUUAAAUCUUUGCCAGGCUAUAAAGUUCCUCUACUGGUAAUUUUAACUGAGCCAUGUUGAAUUACAUUACACGAGGGCUUCAUCGUACUCUGUGAUGCCAGGAACAUUUCAAAAUUUGUCCUAGCUGAUAACUCCUGUUUUACUGUCUGCUUUUUCUACAGUAAGUUAUCAAGUGAAUUAAAGACUACUGGAUCACCUAGCUAGCAGCCCAAAUAAAAUAGAAAGAGCAGCUUACCAUAGGAGCUGAGACCUCUGUUUUGGACAAAAGAGAAACUGCGAUAAAUACGAUAACAAGCUGUUAAUGAAGAAACUUCACUGUAAUAUAGAAUGAAAAAUAGUUCAGCAGAAAAUUUGUGACUUUCUACCAAAAAAGAAGUAAGUUACAAUUUUAAGUCAUCACAGAAAAGGUUCUGUAGUAUCAGACAGUUGAUUCCAACAGGAUACAGUUUUCAGGAAGAAUUUAUGUUCUUUUGUUUGUGCAAUCCCUCACAAGGUCACAGCUACUAUGCCUUCACAGACUCUUACAUUUCUACAGUAACUUUUUCUUCAGAAAACAAUUCAAGCAGGUUUUAAAGGCUCAUGAGAUACAGGAAGGUCUCAGAAACAGAAGCACAAUAAACUGAACACUGCUCUCAGUUACUCUCACUUGUCCCUAAAGCAAUCCAGAAUUUAGGCUGCUGUACCUGACAAGAGAUUUUGACUCACCAUCACUCAUAAUUGUUGUGCCAUACAAAGUAGGAUGCCUUAUUGUUGAAAGAAAGUCAGGGGCAAUGCCAAUUCAGUUUUUGUCUGAAAAAAACAUGGAUAUUCUCUAUACAGAGACACAGUCUAUUUGUCAUGCAUAAUAUGUGGUCUUGAAUGACAUGACAUGUUUUUACAAAGUGCAUCUUCCCUGUAUUGAAAAAAAUCAACUGCAUGAGUCAAAUAUUUCUGUAGUGAAAAACAAAGGACUCCAAUAAAUAAAAAUUCUGGUUUAAGCUAA
This is a non-coding RNA of Taeniopygia guttata (zebra finch), 1828 nucleotides long. The record is from RefSeq and is a predicted model, not a curated record. Lineage: Eukaryota; Metazoa; Chordata; Aves; Passeriformes; Estrildidae.